RNAcentral lists this ribosomal RNA (1690 nucleotides) under Escherichia coli. RNAcentral's name for it is "partial 23S ribosomal RNA". It matches the Rfam family "Bacterial large subunit ribosomal RNA", at positions 1 to 1734 of the family's 2925-position model. The record is from RNAcentral. Lineage: Bacteria; Pseudomonadati; Pseudomonadota; Gammaproteobacteria; Enterobacterales; Enterobacteriaceae.
GGUUAAGCGACUAAGCGUACACGGUGGAUGCCCUGGCAGUCAGAGGCGAUGAAGGACGUGCUAAUCUGCGAUAAGCGUCGGUAAGGUGAUAUGAACCGUUAUAACCGGCGAUUUCCGAAUGGGGAAACCCAGUGUGAUUCGUCACACUAUCAUUAACUGAAUCCAUAGGUUAAUGAGGCGAACCGGGGGAACUGAAACAUCUAAGUACCCCGAGGAAAAGAAAUCAACCGAGAUUCCCCCAGUAGCGGCGAGCGAACGGGGAGCAGCCCAGAGCCUGAAUCAGUGUGUGUGUUAGUGGAAGCGUCUGGAAAGGCGCGCGAUACAGGGUGACAGCCCCGUACACAAAAAUGCACAUGCUGUGAGCUCGAUGAGUAGGGCGGGACACGUGGUAUCCUGUCUGAAUAUGGGGGGACCAUCCUCCAAGGCUAAAUACUCCUGACUGACCGAUAGUGAACCAGUACCGUGAGGGAAAGGCGAAAAGAACCCCGGCGAGGGGAGUGAAAAAGAACCUGAAACCGUGUACGUACAAGCAGUGGGAGCACGCUUAGGCGUGUGACUGCGUACCUUUUGUAUAAUGGGUCAGCGACUUAUAUUCUGUAGCAAGGUUAACCGAAUAGGGGAGCCGAAGGGAAACCGAGUCUUAACUGGGCGUUAAGUUGCAGGGUAUAGACCCGAAACCCGGUGAUCUAGCCAUGGGCAGGUUGAAGGUUGGGUAACACUAACUGGAGGACCGAACCGACUAAUGUUGAAAAAUUAGCGGAUGACUUGUGGCUGGGGGUGAAAGGCCAAUCAAACCGGGAGAUAGCUGGUUCUCCCCGAAAGCUAUUUAGGUAGCGCCUCGUGAAUUCAUCUCCGGGGGUAGAGCACUGUUUCGGCAAGGGGGUCAUCCCGACUUACCAACCCGAUGCAAACUGCGAAUACCGGAGAAUGUUAUCACGGGAGACACACGGCGGGUGCUAACGUCCGUCGUGAAGAGGGAAACAACCCAGACCGCCAGCUAAGGUCCCAAAGUCAUGGUUAAGUGGGAAACGAUGUGGGAAGGCCCAGACAGCCAGGAUGUUGGCUUAGAAGCAGCCAUCAUUUAAAGAAAGCGUAAUAGCUCACUGGUCGAGUCGGCCUGCGCGGAAGAUGUAACGGGGCUAAACCAUGCACCGAAGCUGCGGCAGCGACACUGUGUGUUGUUGGGUAGGGGAGCGUUCUGUAAGCCUGCGAAGGUGUGCUGUGAGGCAUGCUGGAGGUAUCAGAAGUGCGAAUGCUGACAUAAGUAACGAUAAAGCGGGUGAAAAGCCCGCUCGCCGGAAGACCAAGGGUUCCUGUCCAACGUUAAUCGGGGCAGGGUGAGUCGACCCCUAAGGCGAGGCCGAAAGGCGUAGUCGAUGGGAAACAGGUUAAUAUUCCUGUACUUGGUGUUACUGCGAAGGGGGGACGGAGAAGGCUAUGUUGGCCGGGCGACGGUUGUCCCGGUUUAAGCGUGUAGGCUGGUUUUCCAGGCAAAUCCGGAAAACUAAGGCUGAGGCGUGAUGACGAGGCACUACGGUGCUGAAGCAACAAAUGCCCUGCUUCCAGGAAAAGCCUCUAAGCAUCAGGUAACAUCAAAUCGUACCCCAAACCGACACAGGUGGUCAGGUAGAGAAUACCAAGGCGCUUGAGAGAACUCGGGUGAAGGAACUAGGCAAAAUGGUGCCGUAAC